ACAUACAUACCAUACUUAUAACCAUAUAUACAUACCAUACAUAUAACCAUACAUACAUAGGGGAAAGUCGCUGAUUCUGUGCAAACCAUUGGGGAAUCAUUAGAGACAAGUUGCCUGCGCUCUGGAAAAACCUUGAAGAAGGGAGAAGGCCCUAGGUGGAAAAAAAGAGAAAGGUUCCGGUUCUCCUUCUCAGGCCCUUCUUGGUUAGUAACUCUGCCAUCACAAGGCCCUUAGCUCUCCUGCUCCUGCCCCUCAUCAUCACGGCCUUAACUAGAUAUGUAAAUUCCCACUUAGGAGUUACUGAGCUGAUGGUAACUAAGUCCCAAUAUGAACAGGUAUCCACCACAGAUUCAAGGAUCUGACUCAAGACACAACUCAAGGGGAGAAUAUGACGGCCAACAUUAUGUUGAUGGCUAACUGUAUAUUUAAAAGUUUAAAAUUUGCUUAACAGACCUACAAAGCAAAAAUGGACUUACAAAUGUUAAGGGUGCUAAGGGUUAAUGUUUGUAAUUGUCUGGUUUUGUACAACUUUAACAAAAGCACUGUUUCUGCUUCUGUAAAUAAAAGCUUGCUUUGUGGGAGAUGACCUUCUGCUUGUUCUGUAGACAGAAUAUAACUUUGCCUUUAAAAUCCUGACUAGAUAGGCUGGUGCUACAUCUGGGAAUCUAGUUCCGAGUGUAAACCUCGCACAGCAUAUAAAUUAAAGCUUCUUCUUUCUUAAAAUUUACGAAUGGCCAGAUUGGUAAAUCUCUGAAUGACCCGGACUCAUCACAAUGCUGUGACCAUGGAUCACACAGAAGCUGUUAUUCUUGAACAGCUGUGCCUCGCCCCAGCUUGGACCAAGGCAAUGGCUGAAGGCUUCACACUGUUCCUGCAGUGGGAAGUCCUGACUGCAGCUCUCUCUCACUGUCCACCCAGCGGUAACCUGAAGUAUUGAUUAAAUGAAGAUGCAGGAGCCAGAUGCAGGAGUGAAAACCUGCUACCCAGAGAGUCAGAGAAAGCUGCCAGCUGAUCCUC
Molecule: non-coding RNA, 1017 nt
Organism: Myodes glareolus (Bank vole)
Lineage: Eukaryota; Metazoa; Chordata; Mammalia; Rodentia; Cricetidae
Source: RefSeq, a predicted model, not a curated record